Molecule: ribosomal RNA, 492 nt
Filed under: uncultured bacterium
Lineage: Bacteria
Description: partial 16S ribosomal RNA
Rfam family: Bacterial small subunit ribosomal RNA
Source: RNAcentral
AGUGAACGCUGGCGGUAGGCCUAACACAUGCAAGUCGAACGGCAGCACAGUAAGAGCUUGCUCUUACGGGUGGCGAGUGGCGGACGUGUGAGGAAUACAUCGGAAUCUACUUUUUCGUGGGGGAUAACGUAGGGAAACUUACGCUAAUACCGCAUACGACCUACGGGUGAAAGCAGGGGAUCUUCGGACCUUGCGCGAUUGUGUGAGCCGAUGUCGGAUUAGCUAGUUGGCGGGGUAAAGGCCCACCAAGGCGACGAUCCGUAGCUGGUCUGAGAGGAUGAUCAGCCACACUGGAACUGAGACACGGUCCAGACUCCUACGGGAGGCAGCAGUGGGGAAUAUUGGACAAUGGGCGCAAGCCUGAUCCAGCCAUACCGCGUGGGUGAAGAAGGCCUUCGGGUUGUAAAGCCCUUUUGUUGGGAAAGAAAGGCAGCAGGUUAAUACCCCGCUGUUCUGACGGUACCCAAAGAAUAAGCACCGGCUAACUCCGUG